AUACGGGGGGUGCAAGCGUUAUUCGGAUUUAUUGGGCGUAAAGGGCGCGUAGGCGGCUUGGUAAGUCAGAUGUGAAAGCCCGGGGCUUAACCCCGGAAGUGCAUUUGAAACUAUCAGGCUUGAGUAUGGGAGAGGGAAGUGGAAUUCCUGGUGUAGAGGUGAAAUUCGUAGAUAUCAGGAGGAACACCGGUGGCGAAGGCGACUUCCUGGACCAAUACUGACGCUGAGGCGCGAAGGCGUGGGGAGCAAACAGGAUUAGAAACCCUUGUAGUCC
Molecule: ribosomal RNA, 274 nt
Filed under: uncultured bacterium
Lineage: Bacteria
Description: partial 16S ribosomal RNA
Rfam family: Bacterial small subunit ribosomal RNA
Source: RNAcentral